UGGGGAAUUUUGGACAAUGGGGGAAACCCUGAUCCAGCCAUGCCGCGUGAGUGAAGAAGGCCUUCGGGUUGUAAAGCUCUUUCGGCAGGAACGAAAUGGUCCGUGUUAAUAACUCGGACCGAUGACGGUACCUGAAGAAGAAGCACCGGCUAACUACGUGCCAGCAGCCGCGGUAAUACGUAGGGUGCAGGCGUUAAUCGGAAUUACUGGGCGUAAAGCGUGCGCAGGCGGUUUGUUAAGACAGAUGUGAAAUCCCCGGGCUUAACCUGGGAACUGCGUUUGUUACUGGCAGACUUGAGUGUGGCAGAGGGGGGUAGAAUUCCACGUGUAGCAGUGAAAUGCGUAGAUAUGUGGAGGAAUACCAAUGGCGAAGGCAGCCCCCUGGGUUAACACUGACGCUCAUGCACGAAAGCGUGGGGAGCAAACAGGAUUAGAUACCCCUGUAGUCC
Molecule: ribosomal RNA, 449 nt
Filed under: uncultured bacterium
Lineage: Bacteria
Description: bacterial SSU rRNA
Rfam family: Bacterial small subunit ribosomal RNA
Source: RNAcentral